This 102-nucleotide small nuclear RNA is filed under the name Chinchilla lanigera (long-tailed chinchilla). The record is from RNAcentral. Lineage: Eukaryota; Metazoa; Chordata; Mammalia; Rodentia; Chinchillidae.
GUGCACACUUCAUCAGCACAAAUACUAAAAUGGCAAUGGUACAGAGAUUAGCUUGCCCUGUGGAAAGAUGAUAUGCACAUUUAUGAAGUGUUCCAUUUUUUG